RNAcentral lists this ribosomal RNA (388 nucleotides) under Syndiniales sp. RNAcentral's name for it is "partial small subunit ribosomal RNA". It matches the Rfam family "Eukaryotic small subunit ribosomal RNA", at positions 583 to 975 of the family's 1831-position model. The record is from RNAcentral. Lineage: Eukaryota; Dinophyceae; Syndiniales.
UUCCAGCUCCAAUAGCGUAUAUUAAAGUUGUUGCGGUAAAAAAGCUCGUAGUUGGAUUUCUGUUGCGAAUGGCCGGUCUUCACUACGUGAAUGUAUCUGGUUCAAUCGUGGCAUCCUCAUAGGAAACGUUGCUGCGCUUCACUGCGUGGUGCGGUGCCUAUGACUUUUACUUUGAGGAAAUUAGAGUGUUCACGGCAGGCAAUCGCCCUGAAUAUGUUAGCAUGGAAUAAUAAUAUAGGAUCUUGGUUCUAUUUUGUUGGUUUCUAGAGCUAAGAUAAUGGUUAAUAGGAACAAUUGGGGGCAUUUGUAUUAACAUGUCAGAGGUGGAAUUCUUGGAUUAUGUUACGACAAACUACUGCGAAAGCAUUUGCCAAGGAUGUUUUCAUCA